Molecule: transfer RNA, 73 nt
Filed under: Trechus rubens
Lineage: Eukaryota; Metazoa; Arthropoda; Insecta; Coleoptera; Carabidae
Description: transfer RNA-Leu
Source: RNAcentral
UAUUAAAUAUUAUUUUGGCAGAUUAGUGCAAUGAAUUUAGAUUUCAUAAAAGUAAAUAUUUUACAAGUAAUAC